GUUAAAAAGCUCGUAGUUGGAUUCCUGUUGAGAACAGCCGGUCCACCUCUUGGGUGAGUAUCUGGAUUGGUCUCGGCAUCCUCUCGAAACUCGUUGCUGCGCUUGAUUGCGUGGUGCGGUGUUCGGGACUUUUACUUUGAGGAAAUUAGAGUGUUCACGGCAGGCAUUCGCCUUGAAUAUAUUAGCAUGGAAUAAUACUAUAGGAUCUUGGUUCUAUUUUGUUGGUUUCUAGGGCUAAGAUAAUAAUCAAUAGGGAUAAUUGGGGGCAUUCGUAUUAACGCGUCAGAGGUGGAAUUCUUGGAUUGCGUUACGACGAACUACUGCGAAAGCAUUUGCCAAGGAUGUUUUCAUUGAUCAAGAACGAAAGUAUGGGGAUCGAAGACGCUUAGAUACCGUCGUAGUCUUUACCAUAAACUAUGCCAGCUAGAGAUUGGAGGUCGUAUUUUCUAUGACUCCUUCAGCACCUUAUGAGAAAUCAAAGUUUUUGGGUUCCGGGGAGAGUAUGGUCGCGAGGCUGAAACUUAAAGGAAUUGACGGAAGGGCACCACCAGGAGUGGAGCCUGCGGCUUAAUUUGACUCAACACGGGAAAACUCACCAGGUCCAGACAUAGUAAAGAUUGACAGAUUGAUAGCUCUUUCU
This 640-nucleotide ribosomal RNA is filed under the name uncultured marine eukaryote. Its description in RNAcentral is "SSU rRNA". It matches the Rfam family "Eukaryotic small subunit ribosomal RNA", at positions 618 to 1262 of the family's 1831-position model. The record is from RNAcentral.